This 255-nucleotide ribosomal RNA is filed under the name uncultured bacterium. RNAcentral's name for it is "partial 16S ribosomal RNA". It matches the Rfam family "Bacterial small subunit ribosomal RNA", at positions 524 to 776 of the family's 1533-position model. The record is from RNAcentral.
UACGGAGGGUGCGAGCGUUGUCCGGAAUCACUGGGCGUAAAGGGCGCGUAGGCGGCCUGAUAAGUAGGGGGGUGAAAUCCUGCGGCUUAACCGCAGGGCUGCCUUCUAAACUGUCAGGCUCGAGCACAGUAGAGGCAGGUGGAAUUCCCGGUGUAGCGGUGGAAUGCGUAGAGAUCGGGAAGAACAUCAGUGGCGAAGGCGGCCUGCUGGGCAGUGGCUGACACUGAGGCGCGACAGCGUGGGGGAGCAAACAGG